This is a long non-coding RNA of Lingula anatina, 379 nucleotides long. The record is from RefSeq and is a predicted model, not a curated record. Lineage: Eukaryota; Metazoa; Brachiopoda; Lingulata; Lingulida; Lingulidae.
GAAGCCUGUCAGUCUUUUUGCCGACACAAAUACCACAGCAGAGCAACUGGGGAAUGUGAAAAUGAUGACCUUUGUCACUGUGACCGGAGUGGCCGUGGCUGAACAUCCUGGUCUGAACUGAAUGGUCAUCCUGACAAUGGAUUCCAUAGCUGAUAAUUCAAAUCUGAAUCUUGAACUCAUUUUUCUUUAGGAGUAAUAAAAAUAUGGUAUACAUUAUCAUUAACAUCUAUUCUGUCUAAUUUACACUAACAUCUAUUACAAAGUAACAAACAAUGAAAAAAAAACUUUCUUUACUGAUAUUUCCUAUUCACAUUGACAGCAAAUAAGAAAGUGAGUUCUAAUUCAUCUCAAACCCCUUUCCUCCUUGCAUUGAAAAAAA